CUUUUCUUUUGGUAGUACAAUGGAAGUGCCGUCUCCUAAAUUUUCUGGUUGUUCACAAGGACCUGAAGACGGACAAUAAGGUAAAAGUCCGAUUCAGAAAAUGGAUGAUCAGAAGACGCUUCUGAAACAAGUGUUCGGUGAAUCAUCAGACAGUGAAGACAACGACGAACAGCAACAACGAAUCGAAGAUUCAGUAUCCGGC
This 202-nucleotide unclassified non-coding RNA is filed under the name Hevea brasiliensis (rubber tree). Lineage: Eukaryota; Viridiplantae; Streptophyta; Magnoliopsida; Malpighiales; Euphorbiaceae. The record is from RNAcentral.